GAUGAACGCUGGCGGCGUGCCUAAUACAUGCAAGUCGAGCGAACAGACGAGGAGCUUGCUCCUCUGACGUUAGCGGCGGACGGGUGAGUAACACGUGGAUAACCUACCUAUAAGACUGGGAUAACUUCGGGAAACCGGAGCUAAUACCGGAUAAUAUAUUGAACCGCAUGGUUCAAUAGUGAAAGACGGUUUUGCUGUCACUUAUAGAUGGAUUCGCGCCGCAUUAGCUAGUUGGUAAGGUAACGGCUUACCAAGGCAACGAUGCGUAGCCGACCUGAGAGGGUGAUCAGCCACACUGGAACUGAGACACGGUCCAGACUCCUACGGGAGGCAGCAGUAGGGAAUCUUCCGCAAUGGGCGAAAGCCUGACGGAGCAACGCCGCGUGAGUGAUGAAGGUCUUCGGAUCGUAAAACUCUGUUAUUAGGGAAGAACAAAUGUGUAAGUAACUAUGCACGUCUUGACGGUACCUAAUCAGAAAGCCACGGCUAACUACGUG
This 497-nucleotide ribosomal RNA is filed under the name uncultured bacterium. RNAcentral's name for it is "partial 16S ribosomal RNA". It matches the Rfam family "Bacterial small subunit ribosomal RNA", at positions 28 to 507 of the family's 1533-position model. The record is from RNAcentral.